UUCCUUCCCCCUUUUCUCCUCCCUGCAUUUCCUUCUCUUCCCUUCUCUCCUCAUUUCCUUCUCCCUUCCCCCUUCCUUCCCCCUUUUCUCCCCUCCCUUCCUUUUGCCAGGUUCAACACUUGCAGUUUAUUGGGUUACAACCAUGAAAUCGUCAGAUACAGAUGCAUCAACAUACAGUUUGGAGCAUAAGAUGUUGGACCAAGGAGUGCAGGUACAAAUUUCACCUUUUAACAUUUUAAGAGAUUAUUUUGGACGUCUUCUUUUGCAGUCUAGUUGUUGUCUUUGUUCUACGUAGUUAUUUUUGUUAUCUCAAUAUUUCAUGAUUUGGAAGCAAUAUGUUGUCCAACUGUACUAUAUUGGCCACUUGCUAAGGAAACUAUGCUAAGUAAAUCUAGCUUCCUAUCUGAUUUGAUCUAUACUAUGGCCUUGUCUGGCUUGGUCUUCUCUGUGUGUCAUUUCCUGUUUCUGAU
Molecule: long non-coding RNA, 470 nt
Filed under: Malus domestica (apple)
Lineage: Eukaryota; Viridiplantae; Streptophyta; Magnoliopsida; Rosales; Rosaceae
Description: long non-coding RNA (MDOM_LNC001424)
Source: RNAcentral